CAAUAGCGUCUAUUAAAGUUGUUGCAGUUAAAAAGCUCGUAGUUGGAUUUCUGGUAGGAGCGACCGUGCCGAACUUGAUUGUUCGAGUAUUGUGUUGUCUUCAGCCAUCCUCGUGGAGAACUUUUCUAACAUUAACUUGUUGGGAUUGGGACCCGCGUCGUUUACUGUGAAAAAAUUAGAGUGUUUAAAGCAGGCAUUAGCUUGAAUACAUUAGCAUGGAAUAAUAAGAUAGGACUUUGGUACUAUUUUGUUGGUUUGCAUACCAAAUUAAUGAUCAACAGGAACAGUUUGAGGAUAUUCGUAUGAACAUGUCAGAGGUGAAAUUCUUGGAUUUUGAUCAGACGAACUACUGCGAAAGCAUUUAUCAAGGAUGUUUUCAUUAA
Molecule: ribosomal RNA, 383 nt
Filed under: uncultured eukaryote
Lineage: Eukaryota
Description: partial 18S ribosomal RNA
Rfam family: Eukaryotic small subunit ribosomal RNA
Source: RNAcentral